ACAGUGAAAUCCUCCAAAUCAGGUCAUGUCAAAUUAAGGGAGGUAUUUCGGGAGCCCACCCAAGUCUCCAAAGAGGAUGUCUGAGGGGGCGGAGCCAAAUCAUUACGACAUCAGACUCACCUGGACUGAUCACCUGAGAACUACUUAACCUGUCACUCGGUCUGAUUGAUUCUUCUGUUCUGGUUUUAUCUGGUGUGUUUGUCCAACCUGCAGCUCAGGUCCCUCUCUAUCUCCCCACACAUCCACCAACCACUGGAACACAUCUCCAAAGUUCUGCCAGGCCAGCUCAGCUUCCCCUCAGAAGAAGUGCUGCCACCUGCCAGAUGAAGGAGCCUUUUGAGAGGCAGCUGGCAUCGUGAUUGGACUGUACUUUGGUCUGUUCCAAUCCAGCUUCAGCUCCAGAGACGGCAGGCGGGACGAGUCAACGGAGGCCUGGUGGACGAAGGCAUGCAGCUGAGUACAAUCCAGAAAACAACAGAGGAGGAGUGCAGUGGCCCAGGGCCAGAACAACCAGAGUAGCAUCGUAUGUCUCUUAGAAAACAUCAUAGUAUAGCCUUUGACCAGAGAACUACAGACUCUUCACAACCUCCUCAAACUCUUGGUACAGGACCUCACCACACGGGUCAAGAAGGUUUCUGUCUCA
This is a long non-coding RNA of Amphiprion ocellaris (clown anemonefish), 643 nucleotides long. The record is from Ensembl. NCBI's taxonomy places the organism in Eukaryota, Metazoa, Chordata, Actinopteri, Pomacentridae.